CAAAUGACUUUCGGCAAUGGAUAUCUCGGCUCUUGCAUCGAUGAAGAACGUAGUGAAAUGCGAUACUUGGUGUGAAUUGCAGAAUCUCGUGAGCCAUUGAGUUUUUGAACGCAAGUUGUGCCCGAGGCCUUGUGGCUGAGGGCACGCCUGCUUGGGCGUCAUGG
Molecule: ribosomal RNA, 164 nt
Filed under: Tamijia flagellaris
Lineage: Eukaryota; Viridiplantae; Streptophyta; Magnoliopsida; Zingiberales; Zingiberaceae
Description: 5.8S ribosomal RNA
Rfam family: 5.8S ribosomal RNA
About the family: 5.8S ribosomal RNA (5.8S rRNA) is a component of the large subunit of the eukaryotic ribosome. It is transcribed by RNA polymerase I as part of the 45S precursor that also contains 18S and 28S rRNA.
Source: RNAcentral